ACGGCAGCAGCGGCGGCGGCGCUGAUAUUGUUGGGAAACGUCAUCGUCGCGGAAGCUUCGACUUCGCCUUCGGCGUUCGUACAGAACGUCAUCUACUCAACAAGAUUGCCAUCUUCUCCAAUUCCUAUUGCCCCUCCUUGCAGUGCUUGUAGCAAUUGUUGGUGUGGGUGCUUUUCUGUGGUGGGCAAGGCAGGAUAUGGUUCAAGACAGUGUGCUAACAGGUAAUCUGGAUUGGUGUUGGAUAGUUUCCAUGGAUAGGCAUGCAGAAAUCUUUUGUGUUAUAAUCAGUUCAUUCUUUCCCAUGUGAGAUGUAUUAGAUAAAUGUAUGAUAUGUAUAGGAUGUUUGGAGAAGGUUUGAGUACGCAAGUGAAACUCUUUCAUGUAACAAUUCACGAACGCUUCAUCCACAUCUUGUAAUCAAGUAAUGUCAGAGUAACAUCCUGAGGGUGAUUUUCAAUUGUGAAGUUUUAUUUAUUUCU
Molecule: non-coding RNA, 479 nt
Organism: Prunus avium (sweet cherry)
Lineage: Eukaryota; Viridiplantae; Streptophyta; Magnoliopsida; Rosales; Rosaceae
Source: RefSeq, a predicted model, not a curated record